Molecule: ribosomal RNA, 253 nt
Filed under: uncultured bacterium
Lineage: Bacteria
Description: partial 16S ribosomal RNA
Rfam family: Bacterial small subunit ribosomal RNA
Source: RNAcentral
UACGUAGGGUGCGAGCGUUGUCCGGAAUUAUUGGGCGUAAAGGGCUCGUAGGCGGUUUGUCACGUCGGGAGUGAAAACUCGGGGCUUAACCCCGAGCCUGCUUCCGAUACGGGCAGACUAGAGGUAUGCAGGGGAGAACGGAAUUCCUGGUGUAGCGGUGAAAUGCGCAGAUAUCAGGAGGAACACCGGUGGCGUAGGCGACUAGCUGGGCCAUAACUGACACUGAGGAACGAAAGCCAGGGGAGCGAAUGGG